Mytilus trossulus (common blue mussel) is the source of this 341-nucleotide long non-coding RNA. RefSeq lists it as uncharacterized. The record is from RefSeq and is a predicted model, not a curated record. The transcript has 3 exons. Lineage: Eukaryota; Metazoa; Mollusca; Bivalvia; Mytilida; Mytilidae.
AUUGGUCACUCUCUGUACUGGCCAGUCAAAUCGUAUUUUCACGAUGUCCACGGAUGCGCGCGCAUUCUGACUGAUAUUAGACAAGAAGGACGAUCAGCCAUUGUUUACAAGCGUGGUGCAAAAUAAUAACAUAUGUGGCUUAUUAAGACGUUUUUAUAUCAAAAUGCCUCUCCGAAAGAAAUCCCGUUUGGGACGACCGAAAAAGAACAGCCAUCAGAAAAAAGAACCAAAGCAUAAAAUUGAAUGCCAAAGAGGAAAAGAUGUAGAAAUUAACAAAUGGAGUUAAAAAGAGAGUAAUCCUCGACAAUGAACAGCUGUUGGUACCAGUAUGGAGGAGACAU